This 152-nucleotide transfer RNA is filed under the name Cladophialophora psammophila CBS 110553. It matches the Rfam family "tRNA". From Rfam's summary of the family: Transfer RNA (tRNA) molecules are approximately 80 nucleotides in length. Lineage: Eukaryota; Fungi; Ascomycota; Eurotiomycetes; Chaetothyriales; Herpotrichiellaceae. The record is from Rfam by way of RNAcentral.
GGUCGCUUAGCUCAGUUGGUUAGAGCGUAAGUUGAGACUUGUCCCACUUUCAAAUUGGUAUUAACAGUUCAAUAGGUGGUGCUAAUAUCAGCUUGUGCACACUAUGUACCUGGUAAACGCCAAGGUCGCGAGUUCGACCCUCGUAGUGACCA